GGGCCCAUAGCUCAGUUGGUUAGAGCACCUGACUCAUAAUCAGGGAGUCACUGGUUCAAGCCCAGUUGGGCCCACCU
RNAcentral lists this transfer RNA (77 nucleotides) under Bacteroidales bacterium 6E. Its description in RNAcentral is "tRNA-Met". It matches the Rfam family "tRNA". From Rfam's summary of the family: Transfer RNA (tRNA) molecules are approximately 80 nucleotides in length. The record is from RNAcentral. Lineage: Bacteria; Pseudomonadati; Bacteroidota; Bacteroidia; Bacteroidales.